UAAAGAUUUGCGACAUACAUAUGUAUAUACUAUAUGUAGCUCAAUUCAACUAUAGCGGAUACUAAGGAGACUUUAUAUGGAAAUAUAUUACAUUGACAGCCAGCCAUAUGAGCACAUAUGUAUGUAUUCAUUACAAAUAGUCAUACAUAAGUAUGGACGCACAAAAAUACACGCGGUUAUACGUACACAUGCACGAGUAUAUGUAUGCUAUGGAAUUAUUGCACGGUCUCGACUACUCUUUCAACAAAUCAUCACGUAAACAAUUAUUGCCUUUUCUCUAUAGUAAUAACACUAUUUGCUCGCGGUCGCACAUCAUGCAUUUGCACAUUUCAUUUAAUUAAUAAUAAUUUGAAUGUGGUGUAUUACCACUAUAUGCUCACAUUUGUUGCUGCAUACUUCAAUAUAUUCUUGUUUUAUACAAUA
This is a long non-coding RNA of Anastrepha ludens (Mexican fruit fly), 423 nucleotides long. RefSeq lists it as uncharacterized. The transcript has 2 exons. The record is from RefSeq and is a predicted model, not a curated record. Lineage: Eukaryota; Metazoa; Arthropoda; Insecta; Diptera; Tephritidae.